Molecule: ribosomal RNA, 497 nt
Filed under: uncultured bacterium
Lineage: Bacteria
Description: partial 16S ribosomal RNA
Rfam family: Bacterial small subunit ribosomal RNA
Source: RNAcentral
GAUGAACGCUGGCGGCGUGCCUAAUACAUGCAAGUCGAGCGAACGGACGAGAAGCUUGCUUCUCUGAUGUUAGCGGCGGACGGGUGAGUAACACGUGGAUAACCUACCUAUAAGACUGGGAUAACUUCGGGAAACCGGAGCUAAUACCGGAUAAUAUUUUGAACCGCAUGGUUCAAAAGUGAAAGACGGUCUUGCUGUCACUUAUAGAUGGAUCCGCGCUGCAUUAGCUAGUUGGUAAGGUAACGGCGUACCAAGGCAACGAUGCAUAGCCGACCUGAGAGGGUGAUCGGCCACACUGGAACUGGACCACGGUCCAGACUCCUACGGGAGGCAGCAGUCUGGAAUCUUCCGCAGAGGGCGAGAGCCUGACGGAGCAACGCCGCGUGAGUGAUGAAGGUCUUCGGAUCGUAAAACUCUGUUAUUAGUGAAGAACAUAUGUGUAAGUAGCUGUGCACAUCUUGACGGUACCUAAUCAGAAAGCCACGGCUAACUACGUG